AAAACUUUCCAUGGCAGUGACUAUCACUUAUUGUUACCAGUAGCUAUGCUUUGUUCGUGUACCCUGUAGAUGAAGGACAGCUACAACUUACACGCAGAAUAAUCCAAUAGUUGUUUCACCCAUGAGUGUUUAUUUUGUCAAAUAUUUAUUUUAAUCUUUCUUAUCUCUAUGUUUGCAUACACAGAGAUGUGUGAAAACAACACUGAAAAUGCAAGACGCUCAAGUUACAUAGCAAUGUACAAGAAAGGAUUUUCAUUUAAAAAGCAUGAGGACAAGCAUAGAAACCUUGUCUUGCAGUUGCUGUGUGGAGGAACCCUAGCUUCCCACCAAAAACUGCUGGCACAGUCUUUAUUGGAUGUCACUGUGUUAAUAAAACGUUGCCCUGCUGGCCUCCGCUCUCCUGAAGCUCUUGAUGUGGAGACUGUCAAAGACAAGUAGACUGACUGGGAGAGCAUACUGCUGCCUGGUUACUUGGCCUAGCUAGACGCCUGUAGAGCAAGCUGUAAAAACACGGUGAGAGAACCCUCACUGCAUGUUAAGCCCCAUAGUUUGGCCUGCCAAGCUUGCAUGUUUGACGCUGCUGCAUCAUAGUGGGGCAAAGGUUUCAACCAGCCAGCUGAGGCAUGUGCCUUAAUUUUUCUCCUCCUUCUACUUCUGGACUCCACCAUACACUGUAGCCAUAGCCUAUGUAGUCCACUUGCUAUCAGGGGGCAGACAAAACAUGAACACUGACUGACUUCAGAGGCUCCUGAAAGUUUAAGAUAUGCAUUAGGACCUGCUGUGUCCUCUAGUUAAGGCUCAGCAAUUGAGGCUACCCCAGUUUUGGCUCAGACUAUUCUUAAGGGAUAAAUGUACCUAGUGCAGGUGACGCUGCUUCUGGCUUCAUGGUAGUUUCUCUUGGUUAUCUCUAGCCUUCUGUUAGGGACAAGUCACUGUGCUUUAAUGCUAUAAACAAUGUAUUUAACAGUCAUACACAAUUUCAGGGAGGUGUCCUUAUCGAGGAGGGUGCUUAAAUACCCUUAGACUUUAGCACAUUGUUGAAUCAAAGUGUUUGCGUAAGAACGGACUGUUCGGAACUAAGACAGACGCAUUGUUUGGGGGAUUUUUUUCUCCUCAUUCUGAAAGAACAACACUCAGCUUGUUAUAUGUCUUACGAGAUUUAGAAGUCUUGUUAUUCUAUUCUAUUUUAGAUUGGUUACAGGAAGACAAUAAACCUCCACAGUUAUUAACGCAACGCAUGCCUCAGUGGUUUAAUAUGCUUCAUUAACCCGAGCAGUGGUUCCAAGUGCAGUGUACAAGAUCUUUUGCAGUUGCUUUAUAUAGUUUUCUUUAAAGAGGGCGUUAACCAAAAUUCAAUUUCCAGAAGGAAGUGUCCAUAGGUAUGGUAGGGAAUGUAGCUUGUCAUCAAGAAAUAGGAGCAAGGGUAACUGCUAGACUAUGGGGAGGGAAGUUCUUCUACCCUUUCUGUCAUCCACAGUUUUCCUUUUUUUUCCCCUCCUUGAAUAUUAGAAGGGGGUUUUGAUGAUUGUUCCAGAGCUCCUUACAUAUUCCUGGAAAUCUACUGUUAAUAAGACUGGAAGCAUUUAUGAUAAUAGGAAGUAUGUGUGUGUGGAGCUAAGAGAAAUAAUUGUCUGAAUUUCAGAAUCAGUAUUUGUUUUAGAGAUUAGUAUUGUUUCUAAACAACUUCAGUUUCCAGUGCAGAAAGUUAUAUUUAUGUAUAUAUGAGGAGAUAAGAUUACAGUUAAAACCGCUUCAAGUAUUACUAUUUUAGAACUACAGAACCCAAAAAUGUAUAUGACGGUGUGGUGAAGGGUCAGAAGAAAUGUAGCAGAGCUAAAGAUUCAUUGCAAAAGCUUUAAAUGCUGCCUCUGAUUCUGGCUGUUUUUCACCCCUGCUUUUAGCUAGUAUAACCCCAUUGACAUUUCCUGGUAGGAUUUUCUUAGCCCAUCGCAGUGAUUAAUCCUCAGCUCUCCAAGGGGAAAUAAAGCCUUU
This 1992-nucleotide long non-coding RNA is filed under the name Anas zonorhyncha (Eastern spot-billed duck). RNAcentral's name for it is "lncRNA (ENSAZOG00000013623.1)". Lineage: Eukaryota; Metazoa; Chordata; Aves; Anseriformes; Anatidae. The record is from RNAcentral.